AUUGAACGCUGGCGGCAUGCCUUACACAUGCAAGUCGAACGGCAGCACGGGAGCUUGCUCCUGGUGGCGAGUGGCGAACGGGUGAGUAAUACAUCGGAACGUACCCUGAAGUGGGGGAUAACGUAGCGAAAGUUACGCUAAUACCGCAUAUUCUGUGAGCAGGAAAGAGGGGGAUCGCAAGACCUCUUGCUUUAGGAGCGGCCGAUGUCGGAUUAGCUAGUUGGUGAGGUAAAGGCUCACCAAGGCGACGAUCCGUAGCGGGUCUGAGAGGAUGAUCUGCCACACUGGGACUGAGACACGGCCCAGACUCCUACGGGAGGCAGCAGUGGGGAAUUUUGGACAAUGGGCGCAAGCCUGAUCCAGCCAUGCCGCGUGAGUGAGAA
Molecule: ribosomal RNA, 383 nt
Filed under: uncultured bacterium
Lineage: Bacteria
Description: bacterial SSU rRNA
Rfam family: Bacterial small subunit ribosomal RNA
Source: RNAcentral